CGCGAGGCGCCGGCAGCGCGGCGGAGCGGGCGCCAUGUCGGGCCGAGAGGGCGGCAAGAAGAAGCCGCUGAAGCAGCCGAAGAAGCAGUCGAAAGACCUGGAUGAGACAGAUCUGGCAUUUAAGCAA
This is a long non-coding RNA of Nothoprocta perdicaria, 127 nucleotides long. RefSeq lists it as uncharacterized. The transcript is spliced from 3 exons. The record is from RefSeq and is a predicted model, not a curated record. NCBI's taxonomy places the organism in Eukaryota, Metazoa, Chordata, Aves, Tinamiformes, Tinamidae.